RNAcentral lists this ribosomal RNA (99 nucleotides) under uncultured bacterium. Its description in RNAcentral is "partial 16S ribosomal RNA". It matches the Rfam family "Bacterial small subunit ribosomal RNA", at positions 392 to 508 of the family's 1533-position model. The record is from RNAcentral.
CGACGCGCGUGGGCGAUGAAGCCCUUCGGGGGUGUAAAGCUCUUUCGACGGGAACGAUAAUGACGGUACCCGGAGAAGAAGCUGCGGCUAACUACGUGC